RNAcentral lists this microRNA precursor (136 nucleotides) under Pelobates cultripes (western spadefoot toad). Lineage: Eukaryota; Metazoa; Chordata; Amphibia; Anura; Pelobatidae. The record is from RNAcentral.
GUGGUCCCCAACCCAGUCCUCAUGGGCCACCAACAGUCCAGGAUUUAUGUAUUUCCCUAUUUCCCUGUGUUAUUCCAAUGGAGAUACUGACAAAACCUGGACUGUUGGUGGUCCAUGAGGACUGGGUUGGAGAACA